AGUGGCGCACGGGUGAGUAACGCGUAGGUAAUCUACCUUAAGGAUUGGGAUAGCUCUACGAAAGUAGGAUUAAUACCAUAUAUGCUCUAUUGAGUAAAGAUUUAUCGCCUUAUGAUGAGCCUGCGUUAGAUUAGUUAGUUGGUAGGGUAACGGCCUACCAAGGCGACGAUCUAUAGCCGGGUUGAGAGACUGGCCGGCCACAUUGGGACUGAGACACGGCCCAGACUCCUACGGGAGGCAGCAGCUAAGAAUCUUCCGCAAUGGACGCAAGUCUGACGGAGCGACGCCGCGUGAACGAUGAAGGCCUUACAGGUUGUAAAGUUCUUUUAUAGAAGACGAAUGUUAUGCGUAGGCAUAACUGACGGUAUUCUAUGAAUAAGGUCCGGCUAACUACGUGCCAGCAGCCGCGGUAAUACGUAGGGACCGAGCGUUGUUCGGAAUUAUUGGGCGUAAAGGGUACGUAGGCGGUCUAAUAAGUCAGAUGUGAAACCCUCGGGCUCAUCCUGAGGCCUGCGUCUGAUACUGUUAGGCUAGAGUUACGGAGAGGAAGUCGGAAUUCCUGGUGUAGGGGUGAAAUCUAUAGAUAUCAGGAAGAACAUCGGUUGCGAAGGCUGACUUCUGGACGUUAACUGACGCUGAGGUACGAAAGUUAGGGUAGCAAACAGGAUUAGAGACCCUGGUAGUCCUAACUGUAAACGUUGUAUACUAGGUGGUGGCGUUUUGAUCGCGUCACUGCCGGAGCUAACGCAUUAAGUAUACCGCCUGGGGAGUAUGCCGGCAACGGUGAAACUCAAAGGAAUUGACGGGGGCCCGCACAAGCAGUGGAGCAUGUUGUUUAAUUCGAUGAUACGCGAGGAACCUUACCAGGUCUUGACAUAUACCUGAAUGUUGUAGAGAUACAUCAGUCUUUCGGGACAGGUAUACAGGUGCUGCAUGGUUGUCGUCAGCUCGUGCCGUGAGGUGUUGGGUUAAGUCCCGCAACGAGCGCAACCCU
RNAcentral lists this ribosomal RNA (994 nucleotides) under uncultured organism. RNAcentral describes it as "bacterial SSU rRNA". It matches the Rfam family "Bacterial small subunit ribosomal RNA", at positions 94 to 1105 of the family's 1533-position model. The record is from RNAcentral.